CUAUGCGCCUUGCCAGCCCGCUCAGGUGUGCCAGCCGCCGCGGUAAUACGUAGGGUGCAAGCGUUAUCCGGAUUUAUUGGGCGUAAAGGGCUCGUAGGCGGUUCGUCGCGUCCGGUGUGAAAGUCCAUCGCUUAACGGUGGAUCCGCGCCGGGUACGGGCGGGCUUGAGUGCGGUAGGGGAGACUGGAAUUCCCGGUGUAACGGUGGAAUGUGUAGAUAUCGGGAAGAACACCAAUGGCGAAGGCAGGUCUCUGGGCCGUUACUGACGCUGAGGAGCGAAAGCGUGGGGAGCGAACAGG
This 299-nucleotide ribosomal RNA is filed under the name uncultured bacterium. Its description in RNAcentral is "partial 16S ribosomal RNA". It matches the Rfam family "Bacterial small subunit ribosomal RNA", at positions 475 to 776 of the family's 1533-position model. The record is from RNAcentral.